CCUACGGGAGGCAGCAGUGGGGAAUAUUGGGCAAUGGGCGCAAGCCUUACCCAGCAAUACCGCGUGAGUGAAGAAGGUCUUCGGAUUGUAAAGCUCUUUGAUCAGGGACGAACAGAUGACGGUACCUGAAGAACAAGCCCCGGCUAACUACGUGCCAGCAGCCGCGGUAAAACGUAGGUGGCAAGCGUUGUCCGGAUUUACUGGGUGUAAAGGGCGUGUAGCCGGGUUGACAAGUCAGAUGUGAAAUCCUGCGGCUUAACCGCAGAACUGCAUUUGAAACUGUUGAUCUUGAGUACUGGAGAGGCAGACGGAAUUCCUAGUGUAGCGGUGAAAUGCGUAGAUAUUAGGAGGAACACCAGUGGCGAAGGCGGUCUGCUGGACAGCAACUGACGGUGAGGCGCGAAAGCGUGGGGAGCAAACAGGAUUAGAUACCCUAGUAGUC
RNAcentral lists this ribosomal RNA (442 nucleotides) under uncultured bacterium. RNAcentral describes it as "partial 16S ribosomal RNA". It matches the Rfam family "Bacterial small subunit ribosomal RNA", at positions 338 to 795 of the family's 1533-position model. The record is from RNAcentral.